This 468-nucleotide ribosomal RNA is filed under the name Pseudomonas sp. ICMP 3272. Its description in RNAcentral is "bacterial SSU rRNA". It matches the Rfam family "Bacterial small subunit ribosomal RNA", at positions 1 to 469 of the family's 1533-position model. The record is from RNAcentral. Lineage: Bacteria; Pseudomonadati; Pseudomonadota; Gammaproteobacteria; Pseudomonadales; Pseudomonadaceae.
GAACUGAAGAGUUUGAUCAUGGCUCAGAUUGAACGCUGGCGGCAGGCCUAACACAUGCAAGUCGAGCGGCAGCACGGGUACUUGUACCUGGUGGCGAGCGGCGGACGGGUGAGUAAUGCCUAGGAAUCUGCCUGGUAGUGGGGGAUAACGCUCGGAAACGGACGCUAAUACCGCAUACGUCCUACGGGAGAAAGCAGGGGACCUUCGGGCCUUGCGCUAUCAGAUGAGCCUAGGUCGGAUUAGCUAGUUGGUGAGGUAAUGGCUCACCAAGGCGACGAUCCGUAACUGGUCGGAGAGGAUGAUCAGUCACACUGGAACGGAGACACGGUCCAGACUCCUACGGGAGGCAGCAGUGGGGAAUAUUGGACAAUGGGCGAAAGCCUGAUCCAGCCAUGCCGCGUGUGUGAAGAAGGUCUUCGGAUUGUAAAGCACUUUAAGUUGGGAGGAAGGGCAGUUACCUAAUACGUG